UACGAAGGGGGCUAGCGUUGUUCGGAUUUACUGGGCGUAAAGCGCGUGUAGGCGGACUUGUAAGUUGGGGGUGAAAUCCCGAGGCUCAACCUCGGAACUGCCUCCAAAACUACAAGUCUGGAGCAAGAUAGAGGCAAGUGGAAUUGCGAGUGUAGAGGUGAAAUUCGUAGAUAUUCGCAAGAACACCAGUGGCGAAGGCGGCUCACUGGCCCGAUACUGACGCUGAGGUGCGAAAGCGUGGGGAGCAAACAGG
RNAcentral lists this ribosomal RNA (253 nucleotides) under uncultured bacterium. RNAcentral's name for it is "partial 16S ribosomal RNA". It matches the Rfam family "Bacterial small subunit ribosomal RNA", at positions 524 to 776 of the family's 1533-position model. The record is from RNAcentral.